This 522-nucleotide ribosomal RNA is filed under the name Caenocholax sp. 8 DPM-2010. RNAcentral describes it as "partial 18S small subunit ribosomal RNA". The record is from RNAcentral. Lineage: Eukaryota; Metazoa; Arthropoda; Insecta; Strepsiptera; Myrmecolacidae.
GUCUAAGUACUAGCCAACUUUUAAAAUGGUGAAACCGCGAAAAGCUCAUUAAAUCGGCUUUGGUUCCUUAGAUAGUUUGCAGAUUAGAGUUUUUUUCGACUUGUCGAAAAAAACAAAAUUCUGAAAUGGAUAACUGUGGUAAUUCUAGAGCUAAUACAUGAAAAAAAUUCGGUGCGAAACUGCGUUUGUUUUAAUCGACAAACGUUUGGCUUUGCACGCUUUUAUUAGAGAAAAAAGCCAAUUUUAUUAUUGAUUACGCAGUCGUGUACGAUUUUAGCGAUGAUUCUAAACGUUUGUUUUCUAUGGUCGCUAGAACGAUGACAAUUUGCGUGAAACCAAUACUAAUUAAAAAAUUUUGGUGUUGAAUCUGAAUAACUUGAAUGGAUUCUCUUUGAAAGAAUUUUAUUUCGUUUCGGAAUGAAAUUUGAUUAGGAGAGGGUUUAAAGCAGACCGCAUUAAAAGCUGCAAACAUAACGAUGAGAGCGCUUUUUGCGUUCGAUUCAGUGUUUGUAGUUUAUGUGG